This is a long non-coding RNA of Triticum aestivum (bread wheat), 2782 nucleotides long. RefSeq lists it as uncharacterized. The record is from RefSeq and is a predicted model, not a curated record. The transcript has 4 exons. NCBI's taxonomy places the organism in Eukaryota, Viridiplantae, Streptophyta, Magnoliopsida, Poales, Poaceae.
CCACAUGAGCGAAAUCCAGAGCGAGCGAGCGAGCGGUCGCGCUAGGGCCACAGCGAUCGAGCAAGAGGAAAAAACAAUCGAACCCUAGCCCCAAUCCAUGGCCCUGCGCCCCUCACUCCUCCCUCCCUCGUCCGCCGCCACUCCCUCCCACCUCCUCCUCCUAUGCCCUAGGAGCCCCGCCACCUACUGCUACUCCUCCACCGCAUCGCCUCUUCCUCCUCCUUACCUUCCCAUCGCUCGUCUUCAGGCUGCAGCGGUGGUUCUCGAUCUGAGCCGUCUUCAGGUGCGUCGAGCGACGGAGGUCGGCUCCCUCCUUCUCCACGGUCGCUUGGCGGGAGAGGAGUCAGCCCCGGUGCUCUGCCUCUCCAUCCGUCUCCGCAAGCCAUCGUCCGAUGCCGUUGUUGCCCGCCAUCAUCUUGCUCGCUGCGUGCUUGCUAUAGAGCCAUGGCUUUCCUCGCUGUAGGUUAUGCCAUGGCUUUUCUUGUCCCGUCCCACUCGCCUCCCCCUCCUCGUCAUCCUCCUCUCUCUCUCUCUCUCCCGCGGCUAGGAUUCGGGCUAGGGUUCAGGCGCCUUCCCUUCUCUCCUCCUCUACCCAAAGCCGCCUCCCCUCCUUUCUCUCCUUCUCCACUAACGAGGCCGGGCCAGGAGCAGCGAGGCCGGGGCGGCGGCGCAGACAAGAAACUGUGGGCUCUCCUCCGCAAAUAUCUACCGGGACGACGGUAGCCCGACGAGGAUCCCCGGUCAACGGUGCCCCGGGCGCUCACUGCCAAGAAGCUGCCGGAGGAGGAACUCGACCCGGACGACCGCCGCUGGACAAAGAGCCCCGAAAAAAUCCCCAACCACCCCUGCGCCACCGCCUCUUCACCUUCGACCAUGGGUUGCAACAGUCAGAGGACCAAGUUGGAGCAUACUAGGCAAAUGGGCCUUGCCGUGAGUCGUGGUGCAGCAGUGACCUCGAUGGGCAGGGUAAUGGUCAGAUACGAGUCAGCAGCAAAGAUGACUGUAAGCAUUCAAAAAAGUUUACCACGCUAGGGCGAUGUCAGGUUGUACAAGGGCAGUUAAUGAAUAUACUUGUGACACUUAUACUCUCAGCAAUGCCGACAAACAUGGUUUAUGAUGAUAUUGGUGGUCUGAAGCUUUAGAUCGUCGGGGCUGCUCUCAUUCGUUCAAUUUGCCAGUGAUCCCUUCCAUUCUACUGCUGCUCAUUAUUAUCAUAUGAAGGAGGUGUUCUUCCAUUACAAUACUCCUGACGUGUUUUAUGAAAUGUCUAUGAGCUGGUAUGUUGUUCAUUCUCUUUUUUUUUCUUGCAGGCUGAUCUAUGUUCUCUGUUUGUUGGGUCCUCCGUGUCAUUAUGAACAAGGUUGGGUCUCUCUUGCUCAGUUUUUGUCUACUAAAAGUGAUGUGAGCUGAUGUGCUUGUUUUGGCGGUCUCCCUGUGUGUGUGAUAUUUGUUUGCAUGUCAACCCUGUGUGCUUGAAAUUUACUCUCAUAUCAUGAUAUCAAACGAGGAUGUGUUCUUGUUUACCUCUUGAAUAGACAGAUCUUGGUGCAUUACUGGUACCGUGCCUCUAGGUGGUCAGCGAGGGUCACACUUGCGCUAUGCUUCCCUUUGGAUUCUAGCAUGGUGUUCGGGUGCCUAGCUUAGUUCAGUUGUGAGUCGAAAGCAACGAAAUCAUAUGUUUCUGAAUCUUGGAUAUACAUUACAAUCCAGCGGCCCAUUCUUGUCGUGCCUGGACUGGCUAGAUCGAUUAGAGUUUGUCUAAUAUGCCUUCGGUGAUCAGCAGCAACACACGAGAUCUUGUAACCUGCAUUAGUUAUUGUUUGCACAAUAAUUACUUAUUGAUAUAAUUACCAAGCUAUCCGAGCCAUCAUUCCCCGGACACCACUUGGUUUCCUUGCCCAUUUAUUCAUCGGAUAUGUACACAAUUGACAGGAUUGACUUCAGAUCUUACAUAAGGUUUCAUAAAGAUAGUUUAGAACCUAAGCUAUACAAAGUUUUACAAAUGAAAUCUACACAAACUCAUGGAUUUGAAACUGAAAGAUAUUAUGUGAUGCAUCUCCAAAAAUCCAGCAUAAUUAUAUAGAGGAAACAUAUAUUCCCAAAAAUUUACGGUCGUGGUCGAGAGCAACAGCGAGUGUAGAGCAAGCCUGUGGGAGAGUUUUUCUGAAUGCAAGCCUUCAGCUCGCCCCGACAACCUUUCCCUGUCAGCUUUGCUCCCCUCUUCCUCCCCUUUGCUUAGAAUUGUUUUAUUGUCAUUCAUAUUCUAUAUUAAAUUCUGAUGAGGUUUCUGUUUGUUAGAUUAAAUUCUAGCCAAGACUAAAUUGUAGCCACAAGAAGGCAGGAUUCUACUUGUUUAGUCUAAAAAAGAGUUUUUGACUUAUUUGAUUAGAUUCUAAGUUAGCUUUUGGGGGGACUUUAGAUACAAUCUGUUAGUUGAAAAAAUAUGUGUUCUUGCGCUUGAGAAAUUGCUGCCAGUGUUACUGUAUCAUAUAUGAAUAUGUACAAGGCAUCAGAAAGCAACAAGUAGAGGAACAAUUAAUUUAGUUUUAAUAUUAUAGUGCUACUCAUCCUAAAUUGUGUUAAAUUAAUCUGCUAGACUAUGGUGAUGACAGAGGGGUACUGUUUUUUAAAAUUGUUUCUUUGUUCCAAUUAUAAAGGGCCUGUCGUGGUUCUAAGUCUGACAGUAGAAUGGGGGGUAAGUAUGGAGAGGCAAGAUCCUAGCUAUGGAGUAGUUGUACACACGAGUGUUUUACGAGUUCAGGCCCUUCUCGAAGGAAGUAAU